AGGAAUUGAGCUACUCUGGUAACAGAGAGCUAUCCUAGGUUAAACUCAGAAGUUUUUAAUCGACUGUCUUUGGCUGUUCAGCUUUGAGGGAACUAAACUCUCAAACUGUUCUUUGACAACUGAAUAAGUGAUAUAAGAGAAAACCAAUUCUCAAAUUUGUAGAUCAACCGACAAUAUUUAAUUGUUGUCAAAUUCGUUGAAUCUCAAUCGCAAAAGUUACUUCAACUUCUUCUUGAUUCUUUCAAGUAGGGAGUUUGGCGUAAAGGUAAGCUACUAAGGGCGUUCGGUGGAUGCCUUGGC
Molecule: unclassified non-coding RNA, 300 nt
Filed under: uncultured bacterium
Lineage: Bacteria
Description: partial 16S-23S ribosomal RNA intergenic spacer
Source: RNAcentral